GACGAACGCUGGCGGCGUGCUUAACACAUGCAAGUCGAACGGAAAGGCCCUGCUUUUGUGGGGUGCUCGAGUGGCGAACGGGUGAGUAACACGUGAGUAACCUGCCCUUGACUUUGGGAUAACUUCAGGAAACUGGGGCUAAUACCAGAUAGGAGCUCCUGCUGCAUGGGGGGGGUUGGAAAGUUUCGGCGGUUGGGGAUGGACUCGCGGCUUAUCAGCUUGUUGGUGGGGUAGUGGCUUACCAAGGCUUUGACGGGUAGCCGGCCUGAGAGGGUGACCGGCCACAUUGGGACUGAGAUACGGCCCAGACUCCUACGGGAGGCAGCAGUGGGGAAUAUUGCACAAUGGGCGGAAGCCUGAUGCAGCAACGCCGCGUGCGGGAUGACGGCCUUCGGGUUGUAAACCGCUUUCGCCUGUGACGAAGCGUGAGUGACGGUAAUGGGUAAAGAAGCACCGGCUAACUACGUG
This 468-nucleotide ribosomal RNA is filed under the name uncultured bacterium. RNAcentral describes it as "partial 16S ribosomal RNA". It matches the Rfam family "Bacterial small subunit ribosomal RNA", at positions 28 to 507 of the family's 1533-position model. The record is from RNAcentral.